Molecule: ribosomal RNA, 429 nt
Filed under: uncultured archaeon
Lineage: Archaea
Description: bacterial SSU rRNA
Rfam family: Archaeal small subunit ribosomal RNA
Source: RNAcentral
UACCUGCAGCUCGAGUGGUAACCGCUAUUAUUGGGCCUAAAGCGUCCGUAGCCGGUUUGGUAAAUAUCUGGGUAAAUCGUGAGGCUUAACUUCACGAAUUUCGGAUAGACUGCCAGACUUGGGAUCGGGGGAGGUCAGAGGUACUCCAGGGGUAGCGGUGAAAUGUUGUAAUCCUUGGAGGACCACCGGUAGCGAAGGCGUCUGACUAGAACGAGUCCGACGGUGAGGGACGAAGCCCUGGGGCGCAAACCGGAUUAGAUACCCGGGUAGUCCAGGGUGUAAACAAUGUGGGCUUUGUAUUGGAGAUCCCACGUGGGUGUCCAGUGCAGAAGAGAAGUUGUUAAGCCCACCGCCUGGGAAGUACGGUCGCAAGGCUGAAACUUAAAGGAGUUGGCGGGGGAGCACAGCAACGGGAGGAGCGUGCGGUUU